This 253-nucleotide ribosomal RNA is filed under the name uncultured bacterium. Its description in RNAcentral is "partial 16S ribosomal RNA". It matches the Rfam family "Bacterial small subunit ribosomal RNA", at positions 524 to 776 of the family's 1533-position model. The record is from RNAcentral.
UACGUAGGGUGCGAGCGUUAAUCGGAAUUACUGGGCGUAAAGCGUGCGCAGGCGGCUUCGCAAGUCAGACGUGAAAGCCCCGGGCUUAACCUGGGAAUGGCGUUUGAAACUACGGAGCUGGAGUAUGGCAGAGGGGGGUGGAAUUCCACGUGUAGCGGUGAAAUGCGUAGAGAUGCGGAGGAACACCGAUGGCGAAGGCAGCCCCCUGGGCUAGCACUGACGCUCAGGCACGAAAGCGUGGGGAGCAAACAGG